RNAcentral lists this ribosomal RNA (2902 nucleotides) under Escherichia coli. RNAcentral's name for it is "bacterial LSU rRNA". It matches the Rfam family "Bacterial large subunit ribosomal RNA". Lineage: Bacteria; Pseudomonadati; Pseudomonadota; Gammaproteobacteria; Enterobacterales; Enterobacteriaceae. The record is from RNAcentral. RNAcentral also lists the same sequence under 15 other names.
UUAAGCGACUAAGCGUACACGGUGGAUGCCCUGGCAGUCAGAGGCGAUGAAGGACGUGCUAAUCUGCGAUAAGCGUCGGUGAGGUGAUAUGAACCGUUAUAACCGGCGAUUUCCGAAUGGGGAAACCCAGUGUGUUUCGACACACUAUCAUUAACUGAAUCCAUAGGUUAAUGAGGCGAACCGGGGGAACUGAAACAUCUAAGUACCCCGAGGAAAAGAAAUCAACCGAGAUUCCCCCAGUAGCGGCGAGCGAACGGGGAGGAGCCCAGAGCCUGAAUCAGUGUGUGUGUUAGUGGAAGCGUCUGGAAAGGCGCGCGAUACAGGGUGACAGCCCCGUACACAAAAAUGCACAUGCUGUGAGCUCGAUGAGUAGGGCGGGACACGUGGUAUCCUGUCUGAAUAUGGGGGGACCAUCCUCCAAGGCUAAAUACUCCUGACUGACCGAUAGUGAACCAGUACCGUGAGGGAAAGGCGAAAAGAACCCCGGCGAGGGGAGUGAAAAAGAACCUGAAACCGUGUACGUACAAGCAGUGGGAGCCUCUUAAUGGGGUGACUGCGUACCUUUUGUAUAAUGGGUCAGCGACUUAUAUUCUGUAGCAAGGUUAACCGAAUAGGGGAGCCGAAGGGAAACCGAGUCUUAACUGGGCGUUAAGUUGCAGGGUAUAGACCCGAAACCCGGUGAUCUAGCCAUGGGCAGGUUGAAGGUUGGGUAACACUAACUGGAGGACCGAACCGACUAAUGUUGAAAAAUUAGCGGAUGACUUGUGGCUGGGGGUGAAAGGCCAAUCAAACCGGGAGAUAGCUGGUUCUCCCCGAAAGCUAUUUAGGUAGCGCCUCGUGAAUUCAUCUCCGGGGGUAGAGCACUGUUUCGGCAAGGGGGUCAUCCCGACUUACCAACCCGAUGCAAACUGCGAAUACCGGAGAAUGUUAUCACGGGAGACACACGGCGGGUGCUAACGUCCGUCGUGAAGAGGGAAACAACCCAGACCGCCAGCUAAGGUCCCAAAGUCAUGGUUAAGUGGGAAACGAUGUGGGAAGGCCCAGACAGCCAGGAUGUUGGCUUAGAAGCAGCCAUCAUUUAAAGAAAGCGUAAUAGCUCACUGGUCGAGUCGGCCUGCGCGGAAGAUGUAACGGGGCUAAACCAUGCACCGAAGCUGCGGCAGCGACACUAUGUGUUGUUGGGUAGGGGAGCGUUCUGUAAGCCUGUGAAGGUGGCCUGUGAGGGUUGCUGGAGGUAUCAGAAGUGCGAAUGCUGACAUAAGUAACGAUAAAGCGGGUGAAAAGCCCGCUCGCCGGAAGACCAAGGGUUCCUGUCCAACGUUAAUCGGGGCAGGGUGAGUCGACCCCUAAGGCGAGGCCGAAAGGCGUAGUCGAUGGGAAACAGGUUAAUAUUCCUGUACUUGGUGUUACUGCGAAGGGGGGACGGAGAAGGCUAUGUUGGCCGGGCGACGGUUGUCCCGGUUUAAGCGUGUAGGCUGGUUUUCCAGGCAAAUCCGGAAAACCAAGGCUGAGGCGUGAUGACGAGGCACUACGGUGCUGAAGUGACAAAUGCCCUGCUUCCAGGAAAAGCCUCUAAGCAUCAGGUAACAUCAAAUCGUACCCCAAACCGACACAGGUGGUCAGGUAGAGAAUACCAAGGCGCUUGAGAGAACUCGGGUGAAGGAACUAGGCAAAAUGGUGCCGUAACUUCGGGAGAAGGCACGCUGAUAUGUAGGUGAAGCGACUUGCUCGUGGAGCUGAAAUCAGUCGAAGAUACCAGCUGGCUGCAACUGUUUAUUAAAAACACAGCACUGUGCAAACACGAAAGUGGACGUAUACGGUGUGACGCCUGCCCGGUGCCGGAAGGUUAAUUGAUGGGGUUAGCGGUAACGCGAAGCUCUUGAUCGAAGCCCCGGUAAACGGCGGCCGUAACUAUAACGGUCCUAAGGUAGCGAAAUUCCUUGUCGGGUAAGUUCCGACCUGCACGAAUGGCGUAAUGAUGGCCAGGCUGUCUCCACCCGAGACUCAGUGAAAUUGAACUCGCUGUGAAGAUGCAGUGUACCCGCGGCAAGACGGAAAGACCCCGUGAACCUUUACUAUAGCUUGACACUGAACAUUGAGCCUUGAUGUGUAGGAUAGGUGGGAGGCUUUGAAGUGUGGACGCCAGUCUGCAUGGAGCCGACCUUGAAAUACCACCCUUUAAUGUUUGAUGUUCUAACGUUGGCCCCUAAUCGGGGUUGCGGACAGUGUCUGGUGGGUAGUUUGACUGGGGCGGUCUCCUCCUAAAGAGUAACGGAGGAGCACGAAGGUUGGCUAAUCCUGGUCGGACAUCAGGAGGUUAGUGCAAUGGCAUAAGCCAGCUUGACUGCGAGCGUGACGGCGCGAGCAGGUGCGAAAGCAGGUCAUAGUGAUCCGGUGGUUCUGAAUGGAAGGGCCAUCGCUCAACGGAUAAAAGGUACUCCGGGGAUAACAGGCUGAUACCGCCCAAGAGUUCAUAUCGACGGCGGUGUUUGGCACCUCGAUGUCGGCUCAUCACAUCCUGGGGCUGAAGUAGGUCCCAAGGGUAUGGCUGUUCGCCAUUUAAAGUGGUACGCGAGCUGGGUUUAGAACGUCGUGAGACAGUUCGGUCCCUAUCUGCCGUGGGCGCUGGAGAACUGAGGGGGGCUGCUCCUAGUACGAGAGGACCGGAGUGGACGCAUCACUGGUGUUCGGGUUGUCAUGCCAAUGGCACUGCCCGGUAGCUAAAUGCGGAAGAGAUAAGUGCUGAAAGCAUCUAAGCACGAAACUUGCCCCGAGAUGAGUUCUCCCUGAGACUUAGAGUCUCCUGAAGGAACGUUGAAGACGACGACGUUGAUAGGCCGGGUGUGUAAGCGCAGCGAUGCGUUGAGCUAACCGGUACUAAUGAACCGUGAGGCUUAACCUU